ACGCGUGGGUGUCGGUGGCGGCGCGUGGGUGGUCGUCAGCGGUGCGUGAGGCAGCUUCCGGCGACGCAGUUCGCAGGGGUUGUGCGCCUGACGGUGUAUGUCUCGGUGGUGUAGGAGGAGUCGAAGAAAGACCACCGUGAGAGACCACUGUUGACGGAACUUUGCGGGAACAGUGUUCCGAGAAGAGAGAGAGGGGGUACUUACCUGUAGCUACCGGCGGCUCGUCGGUGGUGCCGAUGGUGUUAACCUAAAGCUUCCACACAAUGGUCCGUGAAAAUACGCAGACCGCUGAAUGAACUUAGGGGUUGCCGGAGACGGGUCGCCGGAGGGGGAGGGGCUUCCACACAAUGGUCCGUGAAAAUACGCAGAUCGCUAAAUGAACUUAGGGGUUGGCGAAG
Molecule: long non-coding RNA, 398 nt
Filed under: Nicotiana benthamiana
Lineage: Eukaryota; Viridiplantae; Streptophyta; Magnoliopsida; Solanales; Solanaceae
Description: long non-coding RNA (NBEN_LNC029355)
Source: RNAcentral